GUGAUAAACAAUGGCGGCCAGGGGUCGAAGUACCCGUAUGUUCGGUUCCGAGAAUUGUGUGUGUUAUUGUAACUUGUGGGGAUACUUUUUAGAUUUUGCGUAAUUAUGUUCAACUUUGGAGGUCGAAGCGUGAUUUUUUAACAUUUGCAGAGUUCUGUUGUGUUCGACUUUGUGCAAAACUGAAAUGACCUUACUACCCGAUGAGAAUGAACAUCCCAUAUCCCUUGACAACUUAACUAAUGACUCUACACUGUAGAGUCUACAGGCUCAUUAUUGAUGCUGUACACUGCACUGUGUGCCCUCCUCGAGAGGUUUCUGCUGAAACUUGUCUGUUUUGUUAUUUGACACCCCGCAACAGAUGGUGCUGGUAUGUUCAUGCAGAGACACAGGAGCCGGAAGUUUUGAACACCAAUGGACAUUUUCGUUAGACCAAUCUGCACUGACACAUUUGGCUGAGCUGCCUUACGACCUGGACACUUUUGCUUUGGAUUGUCCACCUCUGUGUACAAGUUGUACAUACCAGAGUGGUAUGUACAAAUGUUACAGCACAAAUGCUGCUGAGUGCACACACCCCUUCUUUUUUCUACGGGGAAGUCCCACAUCAGUUGACCAUGGCAUUCUGGAGACAAAGUGCGGUGGUCGUUGUAUGUACUAUUCAUCAUUUGCUCCAGUUUGCCCAUGUGGAAGACCCUGUAUGUGUCAGCCUCUGAUCUGUUGAUUAAACCCAAAUAGAAGGCCAUAAAUACUAGCACUACCUCAAUGCUUAAUGUUUUCUGGUAUCUAGCAUUUUCAUUGAUGGAUUAUCUCCCUUGGACUGUUGGACUGUUUUCACCAGUUCUACCAUGUCAAAUUGACAUUGUUUGCAAACCAUAUUUUUCAAACCUGACUCUUUGUGAUUGUGUUUGUAAUCACAUAAAUAGUGUAUUUAUCCAACAAAAAUGUGAUUUGCAUGCUACAAGGUAUGUAAUGUGUAACUUUCAUAUAAAAGGUAUAAUUUAAUUGCUUUUUUCUUAUUUUUUCAUGUUCACCUACAUUAAAUUCAGGUUUUUUGUCUAAAAGAUAUUGCAUAUGUCAAACAAUGACUACAUGAUUACUAAUUUUUUUCAAAAUGGCAGUUACACAUUAAUUAAAAACUGGAAUUUAUGAUAAUUAGGACAUACCACAAAAUGUCACUUUCUCUAUAGGUUGGACUAUACCAAUUAAAAUACUAUUGGUGACAGUGUUAAGAUAUUGGCCUAAAACUACUAUACACGACGUAUCAACCAAAAUAUGAACCAUAGAUAUGAAUACUACAACACCUCACCCAAAGUAGUGACUGAGUUAAAUGGCACCUUUCAUGGCUCAUUUUCGAGAUCACAGCAUGUUGUUACAAGCCCCGUCAAUUCUGCAUUUUUGUAUUCUAAAUAUUACUAAUUUUACUUAUUUAACACCAGAAAGCAACAUUUUGUGUGCGUUUGUUUUCCCUUUAAUCACAAACAAAAACAUGAAGAAGGAAUUUAAUCAUAAUGUAAAUUUAUAAAUUGAUUUUAAAAAUACUUUUUUUUUUAACUUUGUAACCCCCAAAAAUCUCAUUUAGCACCCAUUUUCGAGAGCGGAUUUUUAAUAUGUUACCCUAAAUAACUUUCUAAAUGGAAAUUACACCCCC
Molecule: long non-coding RNA, 1645 nt
Organism: Gigantopelta aegis
Lineage: Eukaryota; Metazoa; Mollusca; Gastropoda; Neomphalida; Peltospiridae
Exons: 3
Source: RefSeq, a predicted model, not a curated record